Molecule: ribosomal RNA, 492 nt
Filed under: uncultured bacterium
Lineage: Bacteria
Description: partial 16S ribosomal RNA
Rfam family: Bacterial small subunit ribosomal RNA
Source: RNAcentral
AGUGAACGCUGGCGGUAGGCCUAACACAUGCCAGUCGAACGGCAGCACAGUAAGAGCUUGCUCUUACGGGUGGCGAGUGGCGGACGGGUGAGGAAUACAUCGGAAUCUACUUUUUCGUGGGGGAUAACGUAGGGAAACUUACGCUAAUACCGCAUACGACCUACGGGUGAAAGCAGGGGAUCUUCCGACCUUGCGCGAUUCAAUGAGCCGAUGUCGGAUUAGCUAGUUGGCGGGGUAAAGGCCCACCAAGGCGACGAUCCUUAGCUGGUCUGAGAGGAUGAUCAGCCACACUGGAACUGAGACACGGUCCAGACUCCUACGGGAGGCAGCAGUGGGGAAUAUUGGACAAUGGGCGCAAGCCUGAUCCAGCCAUACCGCGUGGGUGAAGAAGGCCUUCGGGUUGUAAAGCCCUUUUGUUGGGAAAGAAAAGCAGCAGGUUAAUACCCCGCUGUUCUGACGGUACCCAAAGAAUAAGCACCGGCUAACUUCGUG